UAGGGAAUCUUCCGCAAUGGCCGCAAGUCUGACGGAGCAACGCCGCGUGAGUGAAGAAGGAUUUCGGUUCGUAAAACUCUGUUGUUAGAGAAGAACAGCGCAUAGAGUAACUGUUAUGCGUGUGACGGUAUCUAACCAGAAAGCCACGGCUAACUACGUGCCAGCAGCCGCGGUAAUACGUAGGUGGCAAGCGUUGUCCGGAUUUAUUGGGCGUAAAGCGCGCGCAGGCGGUCAAUUAAGUCUGAUGUGAAAGCCCCCGGCUCAACCGGGGAGGUUCAUUGGUACCUGGUUGUCUUGAGUUCCGAAUCGGUGAUUGGACUUCCAUGUGUAGCUGUGAACUGCCUAGCUAUCUGGAGGAACACCGCUGGCGAACGCGUCUCUCUGGUCUGUAACUGACGCUUAGGCUCGCAAGCGUGGGGAGCGAACAGG
RNAcentral lists this ribosomal RNA (429 nucleotides) under Bacteroidota bacterium. Its description in RNAcentral is "Bacteroidetes bacterium partial 16S ribosomal RNA". It matches the Rfam family "Bacterial small subunit ribosomal RNA", at positions 355 to 776 of the family's 1533-position model. Lineage: Bacteria; Pseudomonadati; Bacteroidota. The record is from RNAcentral.